GUUCAGCAACAACCUUUCAAUACAAUGCCUAAGUUUUAAAUAAAGGCAGGCUCCACCUCUGUGCAUGCCACACUCAGCCUCACUGACUGUGCUGUUAUUCCCUGUAUGUUCCCUCUUCCCAGCAGAUCCAUUCUCUGCCCUCCUCUGCCCAGUUCUGGUUUCCCCUGGGCAAGCUGGUCCCUAAGGGCUGCAUCGAUGGGCUUCUUUGUCUUCUGGCUUCCAGCUGGACUCAGCCAUUAGGAGGCACCUGUUAGAAACUGGAGGGUGGGAGGAAGGAAAGGUUGGCGUAUUUCUCUCCCCACUCCAUCUGUUCUCAUCAUCUACUAGAAGGAGACCCUGGAGUUGGAGCAUUUGGGGCCACUUGGGCCCAGCUUUGUUACAGAUCUGAGGAGUUCAAGUGGGGAGCUGCACACCUGUGCCAGGUUCUUUCAGCAUUCUGAGGACAGGAUGGAACCUGAAGAAGCUGGAAGAGCAGGCCCGCCAGGGGAGACUUCCUCCUCACCCCCUAAGUAAGCUGUGCUCACUUCUAUUCAGUCCUCACCACCUGUUGAUUACAUUUCAUGCCUGUCAGACUGCAGAUUUGAAAAGCUGGAAGGAACAUUCACCGUGUAAAAGAAAACACACCCUGGGGCCCAGAGGAGUUAGUCCUCUCCGCCCACUCUCCCGGGCGGGGGGUGGGGGGGGGUGGUGUUCAGGAGGCAGUGGGUGGAGGAGGAUGUGGAGGGGAAGAUAGACAGACCUCCUCAGAAAAAGGAAAGUUCCUGGGUGACAGAAACGUGAAAAAACAAGGGCAAAGCGAAGUGAGGAGUGAGCAUAACACAGGAAGGCAGAAAAAGCAACUGUGCCCUGAGGGACACCCAGGAGGGGUCCAGGGGGCGUGAGGAGAGAAAAGCAGGUGAGAAGCAAGCAACACAGCAAGGCAUCGAGCCCCUGCAGUGAACACCAUUCCCCUGGUGGCUAUUGGAGGGCUGUGAAAACUCCUUCUCAGUUUAAAGCAGGAAGAAAAUGAAUCUAACUGGGGAUGGUUUUAGGUGUUGCCCCUUUAUCUUAUGCUUAGACUGUUAGUUGAAUUUAGAAUUCUCUACUUGGCCUUUAGAUUCUCUCGCCAUGGAUUCCACAACACCCCUGUGGUCCAACAGGGGAGAAAGACAUGCAAAAUAAUGUGCAUAAUUACAGAAAUCCGUACAACCCAGAGAAUGGU
RNAcentral lists this long non-coding RNA (1201 nucleotides) under Capra hircus (goat). RNAcentral describes it as "lncRNA (ENSCHIG00010014294.1)". Lineage: Eukaryota; Metazoa; Chordata; Mammalia; Artiodactyla; Bovidae. The record is from RNAcentral.